Podarcis raffonei (Aeolian wall lizard) is the source of this 348-nucleotide long non-coding RNA. RefSeq lists it as uncharacterized. Lineage: Eukaryota; Metazoa; Chordata; Lepidosauria; Squamata; Lacertidae. The record is from RefSeq and is a predicted model, not a curated record. The transcript is spliced from 3 exons.
AGGCUCCAUGCCCCCUUGCCGCUGGCAGUCCUCCCUUCUGACUACAGUAUGCUGUAGGACCAGCAGACUUACCUCCAGUCAGGUUCUUUUGUUCGGACCUGCUAACCUUGCCGCAUGAUGCCACAGUGAAGAGCUUGGCUGACCACUGCUUGACCCCACACUCAACACAAAGGCAACCAGCCCCAUACCGACCAAGUCUAAUGAAGUCUUCUCUGCACUGGUUCCAGAUUGGGAUUGUCUUAUUGGAGAAUCAUCAGAUAAUGCCAUAACUAAAGAUAGGUCCUUGGAAACAUCAAGAAUGCCAGAAGAAGAAGAAAAUCCCCAGGAAGCCAAGUCAAUGAGAUCAGA